CCGGGUGUUAACUCCCUGCUGGCGCUUUGGCAAAAACCCCGUGCCAGCGUCCACCUGAAAUUGGGAUAUAGGUUUACAUAACUGCGCACGCACGAGGGGAAGGGGAAGAAAGGUUGGAACUAGUCUCCACAGGUGGUUUGAGCCAUAUUCUAUUUGGGGUCCCUUGUAUCACAAUAUCAACCUGCUGAGCAUGGCGGGGUAUGGAGUAAGGACGAGGAGGAGGUUCAUCACGUCACGCCCUUUUUCCUGUUUGCUUGGUCUUUUUUGACGCCAUGGUUAUACCCUGGAAGGGUAAACAGUUAGAAACCGGGAGUUACAUGGAUUCGCUGAGGAGCUCCUUUGUAGACGUUAACAACGUCCAACAGUAAAUGCUCAAAACGCAUGAAAGUAAAACCCAUUAAAUAAUGGAAAUAAAAUUCAAAAACAAGAAC
RNAcentral lists this small RNA (431 nucleotides) under Histoplasma ohiense. RNAcentral's name for it is "hypothetical lncRNA". Lineage: Eukaryota; Fungi; Ascomycota; Eurotiomycetes; Onygenales; Ajellomycetaceae. The record is from RNAcentral.